RNAcentral lists this unclassified non-coding RNA (456 nucleotides) under Hevea brasiliensis (rubber tree). The record is from RNAcentral. Lineage: Eukaryota; Viridiplantae; Streptophyta; Magnoliopsida; Malpighiales; Euphorbiaceae.
CAAUCUCAGGAUAUUAUGGCUCAUUUACUAAUAAUAAAUAUAUAUGUUCUCUUACAAUUCAAAGCAAUAGAAGAACGUAUGGACCUUUUGGUACUAUGAGAGGAAUCCCUUUCUCAACACCAUCUUUGCAUGGCAAGAUCAUUGGAUUUCAUGGUUCGGCUUAUGGCUAUCUCACUUCAAUAGGAGUACACGUCAAAGCAAUCUCACCAGUUGUUCUUGGCCCGUUUGGAGGCCAAGGUGGAGAUGCAUGGGAUGAUCAAUUUUACAGCGCAAUAAGACAGAUACAACUAACAAUUUGUGAAUUUGGAAUUGAAUCUGUCCGUUUUGAGUAUGAUAAAAAUGGACAACCUGUAUCGUCUCCAAAACAUGGAUCAAAAGCUCAAGGCAUGUUGAAAAAGGUCAUAUUGGAUUAUCCAGGUGAGUUUCUGAUUUCGGUUUCAGGAACCUACGGCAAGG